Centropristis striata (black sea bass) is the source of this 1355-nucleotide non-coding RNA. NCBI's taxonomy places the organism in Eukaryota, Metazoa, Chordata, Actinopteri, Perciformes, Serranidae. The record is from the annotation of a RefSeq genome assembly.
CAUGAUGAUGUCACUGACUCUGCUGCUGGCCACCCUGGGGCUCCUUGUUCAGGCCUCAUCAGGAGAAAUCCUCCUGACUCAGUCUCCUGGAUCUCAGUCUGCUGUUCCAGGACAGACUGUCUCCAUCAGCUGUAAAGCCAGUUCGAGUGUUAGUGGCUACCUCUCCUGGUACCUUCAGAAACCUGGAGAAGCUCCUAAACUCCUGAUAUAUUACGCUUCAACCCGUCAGUCUGGAGUUUCAGAUCGUUUCAGUGGAGGUGGAUCUGGUACUGACUACACUCUGACCAUCAGUGGAGUUCAGGCUGAAGAUUCAGGAGUUUACUACUGUCAGCAGGGUGCGAGCUACCCGUGGACUUUUGGUGGAGGAACCAGACUGGAUGUUGGAAGUGAUGCCCGUCCCACCCUGACGGUGCUGCCCCCCUCCAGUGAGCAGCUGCAGCAGGGGACGGCCACGCUCAUGUGCCUGGCCAACAAGGGCUUCCCCUCAGACUGGAGUCUGUCCUGGAAGGUGGACGGCAGCAGCAGCAGCAGCAGCAUCAGCUGGGAGCAGAGCAGCAGCCCCGGGGUGCUGGAGAAGGACGGCCACUACAGCUGGAGCAGCACCCUGAGGCUCUCUGCAGACCAGUGGAGGAAGGUGGGCUCUGUGACCUGUGAGGCCACCCAGGGCUCCCAGACUCCGCUCUCAGAGACUCUGAGGAGAGACCAGUGUUCCCAGUCCUGAUCUGACUCACUGCUUUUACUCUGCUACUGCUCUCAGUCUGCUCUCUUUCUCUGUUUCUCUCAUGAUGUUUCAACAUUAAAGAAUUCCAUCGUAUGUUUUAAAAGUGACCAGUCUUUUGAAUUCCUUUCUCUCACAUGUGUUAUAUAUCAUGAGCACGAAUCAGAUUAAUGUGCCAAAGUGACAAUUGUAAGAAGUACAUUUUUCCAGAUUCAUUUUUCAAAAUAUUUUUAAGACUGUAGACAUGGUGCAGCCAUUUCAAUGGUAAAUCACAAAGCUAUCAGAUUUAACUAAUCUAUACUUUUGAAGAUCAUAAGUUAAUAUGUCAUUAAAUUUGUAUUUUUACCCAAGAUCAUUUAUCAUUCAUUUGUAAUCCUAUGUUCCCAAUAUAAAUGGUGCCCCGUUUAGAGGUAUCCCUACACAUAUUUUGGGACAUCCUAAAAUCCCAACAUAUUGGUGCCCCGUGUGAGGCAGUGUACAGUUGGUAAUCACUCUGCACUCUGUAACUCUCAUUUUCACACAUGUUCUGGCUUAUUUUGAUGCUUUCAACAUUUAUAAAGCAAUAAAGAUUUUAUUGUGUUUAUUAUGAAUGUGUCUUUUGGCUUCAUUUCUGUUACAAAUAUAAGAUACAACACUC